Molecule: ribosomal RNA, 512 nt
Filed under: Laetiporus portentosus
Lineage: Eukaryota; Fungi; Basidiomycota; Agaricomycetes; Polyporales; Laetiporaceae
Description: partial small subunit ribosomal RNA
Rfam family: Bacterial small subunit ribosomal RNA
Source: RNAcentral
GCAAUGCUCGCAAGAGUGAACUAGCUAACUGAAAUCACUUGUGUGUCACUCGUGAUGUCGUAAGGGAAAAUAAUGAUAUUACCUUACUAAUAGUGUCGUCAAAAGCUGGUGCCAGAAGACUCGGUAAGACCAGAGACGCAAACGUUAAUCAUCAUAAACAGGCGUAAAGGGUUUGUAGGCUGCUUUGAAAAUCCACAAUUUAAAAUAGCUUUAGUAAAUUUGGAUCAAUUAAAGCUAGAAUCAAAUAGAGGUUAUAUUGUAUAAUACUUAGAGGAGGGAUUAAAUCCGUAGAUCCUAAGGGGAAUACUAAGGGCGAAAGCAAUUUACCAUUAAUGAUUGACGCUGAGAAACGAAGGUGAGGAUAGGAAAUAGGAUUAGAUACCCUAGUACCCCUCUCUGUCAACGAUGAAUGGUAGUUCCUAGCCGGCUUGGCCACUAGAGACGAUGUUAACACGUUAACCAUUCCGCCUUGUGAGUACGAUUGCAAAAUUGAAAACAAAAAAAUUAGUCGG